Molecule: ribosomal RNA, 264 nt
Filed under: uncultured bacterium
Lineage: Bacteria
Description: partial 16S ribosomal RNA
Rfam family: Bacterial small subunit ribosomal RNA
Source: RNAcentral
GUCCACGCCCUAAACGAUGUCUACUAGUUGUCGGGUCUUAAUUGACUUGGUAACGCAGCUAACGCGUGAAGUAGACCGCCUGGGGAGUACGGUCGCAAGAUUAAAACUCAAAGGAAUUGACGGGGACCCGCACAAGCGGUGGAUGAUGUGGAUUAAUUCGAUGCAACGCGAAAACCUUACCUACCCUUGACAUGGAUGGAAUCCCGGAGAGAUUUUGGGAGUGCCCGAAAGGGAACCAUCACACAGGUGCUGCAUGGCUGUCGU